Molecule: ribosomal RNA, 499 nt
Filed under: uncultured Glomeromycotina
Lineage: Eukaryota; Fungi; Glomeromycota
Description: partial small subunit ribosomal RNA
Rfam family: Eukaryotic small subunit ribosomal RNA
Source: RNAcentral
CCAAUAGCGUAUAUUAAAGUUGUUGCAGUUAGAAAGCUCGUAGUUGAAUUUCGGGAUCAAUAUGUCGGUCGUGCCUCGGUACGUACUGGCGUCAUUGGUUUCUCCCUUCUGAAGAACCGCGAUGUCAUUAAUUUGGUGUCGUGGGGAAUCAGGACUGUUACUUUGAAAAAAUUAGAGUGUUUAAAGACGGCCCGCACUUGAAUACAUUAGCAUGGAAUAUUGAAAUAGGACGUUUGAUUCUAUUUUGUUGGUUUCUAGGAUCGACGUAAUGAUUAAUAGGGAUAGUUGGGGGCAUUAGUAUUCAAUUGUCAGAGGUGAAAUUCUUGGAUUUAUUGAAGACUAACUACUGCGAAAGCAUUUGCCAAGGAUGUUUUCAUUAAUCAAGAACGAAAGUUAGGGGAUCGAAGACGAUCAGAUACCGUCGUAGUCUUAACCAUAAACUAUGCCGACUAGGGAUCGGAUGAUGUUAAUUUUUUAAUGACUCAUUCGGCGCCUUACG